CACGUAGGGGGCAAGCGUUGUCCGGAUUUAUUGGGCGUAAAGAGCUCGUAGGUGGCUUAGUAAGUCGGGUGUGAAACCUCCAGGCUCAACCUGGAGACGCCACUCGAUACUGCUAUAGCUUGAGUCCGGUAGGGGAGCGUGGAAUUCCUGGUGUAGCGGUGAAAUGCGCAGAUAUCAGGAAGAACACCAACGGCGAAGGCAGCUCGCUGGGACGGUACUGACGCUGAGACGCGAAAGCGUGGGGAGCGAACAGG
Molecule: ribosomal RNA, 254 nt
Filed under: uncultured bacterium
Lineage: Bacteria
Description: partial 16S ribosomal RNA
Rfam family: Bacterial small subunit ribosomal RNA
Source: RNAcentral